CAGAGUUCAUGCCCUUACGGGUAGAUCUCCCACCCUUGAAUAACAUACAUUGUUGCUUUGGCGGACGCUUCGGCAGCCGCCAGAGGACCCUAAACUCUUGUUUACAGUGUCGUCUGAGUACUAUAUAAUAGUUAAAACUUUCAACAACGGAUCUCUUGGUUCUGGCAUCGAUGAAGAACGCAGCGAAAUGCGAUAAGUAAUGUGAAUUGCAGAAUUCAGUGAAUCAUCGAAUCUUUGAACGCACAUUGCGCCCCUUGGUAUUCCGGGGGGCAUGCCUGUUCGAGCGUCAUUAUAACCCCUCAAGCUCAGCUUGGUGUUGGGGCCUGCCAACUGGCAGCCCUUAAAAUCAGUGGCGGCGCCAUCUGGCUCUAAGCGUAGUAAUUUCUCUCGCUAUAGGGUCCUGAUGGAUGCUUGCCAACAACCCCCAAUUUUCUAUGG
RNAcentral lists this unclassified non-coding RNA (438 nucleotides) under Aureobasidium sp. OTU_105. Its description in RNAcentral is "sequence contains ITS1, 5.8S rRNA gene and ITS2". The stretch from base 136 to 289 matches the Rfam family "5.8S ribosomal RNA". The record is from RNAcentral. Lineage: Eukaryota; Fungi; Ascomycota; Dothideomycetes; Dothideales; Saccotheciaceae.